Molecule: transfer RNA, 85 nt
Filed under: Felis catus (domestic cat)
Lineage: Eukaryota; Metazoa; Chordata; Mammalia; Carnivora; Felidae
Also listed under: 2 other names
Rfam family: tRNA
About the family: Transfer RNA (tRNA) molecules are approximately 80 nucleotides in length. Their secondary structure includes four short double-helical elements and three loops (D, anti-codon, and T loops). Further hydrogen bonds mediate the characteristic L-shaped molecular structure. tRNAs have two regions of fundamental functional importance: the anti-codon, which is responsible for specific mRNA codon recognition, and the 3' end, to which the tRNAs corresponding amino acid is attached (by aminoacyl-tRNA synthetases). tRNAs cope with the degeneracy of the genetic code in two manners: having more than one tRNA (with a specific anti-codon) for a particular amino acid; and 'wobble' base-pairing, i.e. permitting non-standard base-pairing at the 3rd anti-codon position.
Source: Rfam by way of RNAcentral
ACCUGAUUGACUCAGUUGGUUAAGCACCUGACUUCAGCUCAGGUCAUAAUCUCGCAGCUCAUGAGUUCAAGUCCCAUAUCAGGUU